CGGAGCCCCGUGUCCCGUCCCCCGUCCCCCCCCCAGCCCGGGGCGGCGGCGCCUUUAAGGCUGGGCCGGGCGCCAACUGCCUCCGCCCGCGGGCAGCGCCGGGCGGGCCGGGCCCCGCCGUAGCCUGGUAACCGCCGCUCGGCGGGCGGAGGGCGGCCCCGGCAGCGCCGCGGUCAGGUGGCAGCCCCAGAGACGGAGCCCGGCGGCCGCCCGAUAAAAGUCCUGCCCCGCCGCCCUCCCGCCCGCCACCCAGCGCGGAGCCGCCGAGGAGCCAUGCGCAGCGUCGGACACGGUCUGUGAGCCAUCCCAGCGCCAGCAGCCCACGGGGUCCAGGUGCCAGUCGGUGAUUCGGAGCGGGACAAGUUUGUUACCGAGUUGACUAAGCGGAGGAAGCUCUCGCUGUCCUACUGCCACCACCGGCGCAGACAAUCCUUCCCUUGGCUGAAGAUCCCGUUGGAUCCCUUCCCAUAAUGGAAG
This 477-nucleotide long non-coding RNA is filed under the name Calidris pygmaea (Spoon-billed sandpiper). Its description in RNAcentral is "lncRNA (ENSCPGG00000015995.1)". The record is from RNAcentral. Lineage: Eukaryota; Metazoa; Chordata; Aves; Charadriiformes; Scolopacidae.